RNAcentral lists this ribosomal RNA (384 nucleotides) under Triticum aestivum (bread wheat). RNAcentral describes it as "partial small subunit ribosomal RNA". Lineage: Eukaryota; Viridiplantae; Streptophyta; Magnoliopsida; Poales; Poaceae. The record is from RNAcentral.
AUGGCGAAUGGUUCAAGAUUGGGAACAGGGGCGCCUCCUCUGUUUUCGUCCCCUGUUUCCGCCGCCUCCUACACUCGUGACCAGGCGCCUCACCGCCUUCUCUCCGCCCAUACUUUGGUGCCGCCGGACCACAUCUGUCCGUCUUUUCCCGCGUCUCUCCACUCCCGCAUCUGCUGUCUCCAGAUUUGGCGCCCGCCACGCCGUGCGCUCGCCGCCGGCACGCCCCCCAGCCACUCCCUCUUCCUCCGCUCUUCUUCUUCUUCCUCCCUCUCCUUGUUGGUUGCAGUUGGUGUACAUGAUCCUUGGGCGCAGCUACCAAACUCUGUAGCAAGAGAUGAUCAAUCCACGGCAGCAAGCAGCAUGUCCAGAACUUGGCACACAUAG